RNAcentral lists this ribosomal RNA (433 nucleotides) under uncultured bacterium. RNAcentral describes it as "partial 16S ribosomal RNA". It matches the Rfam family "Bacterial small subunit ribosomal RNA", at positions 29 to 507 of the family's 1533-position model. The record is from RNAcentral.
AGCGAACGCUGGCGGCAGGCCUAACACAUGCAAGUCGAACGAACUCUUCGGAGUUAGUGGCGGACGGGUGAGUAACACGUGGGAACGUGCCUUUUGGUUCGGAAUAACUCAGGGAAACUUGUGCUAAUACCGAAUGUGCCCUUCGGGGGAAAGAUUUAUCGCCGUUAGAGCGGCCCGCGUCUGAUUAGCUAGUUGGUGAGGUAACGGCUCACCAAGGCGACGAUCAGUAGCUGGUCUGAGAGGAUGACCAGCCACACUGGGACUGAGACACGGCCCAGACUCCUACGGGAGGCAGCAGUGGGGAAUCUUGCGCAAUGGGCGAAAGCCUGACGCAGCCAUGCCGCGUGAAUGAUGAAGGUCUUAGGAUUGUAAAAUUCUUUCACCGGGGACGAUAAUGACGGUACCCGGAGAAGAAGCCCCGGCUAACUUCGUG